GACAGUAAACAACUUCAUAUAUUUGUCAAAACUCACUGAACUGUACUCUUAAAAUGGGUAGAUUUAGGUCUGUAAUCUUGGUGGGCAAUACAGAGUCAUGUGUGUUCACUGUAAGGGCGGACCAACAAGAAUUUGUUUCUACUUUCAAGUUGCCUCUCUUUAAUAGGGGUGACUCUUCCAGUUGCAAGGAAGAAAUUGUGGUAACUGGAGUGAGAGAGUAAGGACAGGAUAUAUUCAGGGUAUUGUGAUCAAGGGUCCCAAAGGACUUAGCUUGUGCUAUGGCCACUGAGAGAUGAAAACAGAUCUUUGGUAAUCUGAUGGCA
Molecule: small nucleolar RNA, 323 nt
Filed under: Choloepus hoffmanni (Hoffmann's two-fingered sloth)
Lineage: Eukaryota; Metazoa; Chordata; Mammalia; Pilosa; Megalonychidae
Source: RNAcentral